RNAcentral lists this ribosomal RNA (429 nucleotides) under Verrucomicrobiota bacterium. Its description in RNAcentral is "Verrucomicrobia bacterium partial 16S ribosomal RNA". It matches the Rfam family "Bacterial small subunit ribosomal RNA", at positions 355 to 776 of the family's 1533-position model. The record is from RNAcentral. Lineage: Bacteria; Pseudomonadati; Verrucomicrobiota.
UAGGGAAUCUUCCGCAAUGGACGAAAGUCUGACGGAGCAACGCCGCGUGAGUGAAGAAGGAUUUCGGUUCGUAAAACUCUGUUGUUAGGGAAGAAAAAAUGUAUAGUAACUAUAUACAAAAGAGACGGUACCUAACCAGAAAGCCACGGCUAACUACGUACCAGCAGCCGCGGUAAUACGUAGGUGGCAAGCGUUGUCCGGAAUUAUUGGGCGUAAAGCGCGCGCAGGUGGUUUAGAAAGUCUGAUGUGAAAGCCCACGGCUCAACCGUGGAGGGUCAUUGGAAACUAAUAAACUUGAGUGCAGGAGAGAAAAGUGGAAUUCCUAGUGUAGCGGUGAAAUGCGUAGAGAUUAGGAGGAAAACCGGUGGCGAAAGCGGCUUUUUGGCCUGCAACUGACACUGAGGCGCGAAAGCGUGGGGAGCAAACAGG